RNAcentral lists this long non-coding RNA (727 nucleotides) under Homo sapiens (human). Its description in RNAcentral is "SEC61G divergent transcript". Lineage: Eukaryota; Metazoa; Chordata; Mammalia; Primates; Hominidae. The record is from RNAcentral.
GCGCCCGGCCACGCUUCCUGGAAGAGAUGCAUUGCGGAGCUCGCUAGUUGGGGCGUUGGCCUUCCUUAGGAGUGUGAGUCUAGCGUUAUCCCUUUUUUCCGGCUGGAUCCCGGGUUACCCCACCAGCCCGACCUCAACCCACUCACGUCCACAGCACGAGCCCCAGCGGCCUUGCGCGGUGCUUGCUCUCUAGUAGCGGCUGACUAGGUCAGUCAGGAUCUUUGAUUUUGGAGCACAAGCCUUCUGCGUGCUACUGACUGGGUCCUGGCCUCCCUCCUUCCAUGGCAUCGUCGUGAAUGGGAAUUUCCACCACUGCCUCCAUUAGGAGCUGCCUCCAGGAUAACCCUGGGUGUGGAGCCCAACCUGAGACACCCAUCGCCUCUCUUACGCCCAACUGAGGGUUUGCCAAGGUCCAUGUGAGAGUCAGAAGAUUGAACAUGUUGUAACUGUAGAAAGCCCGUCAUCCUUGUGUAUGCACUUGCUGAAAGAUCCACUGAAGAGCAACCUUCAUGAACAUUACCAGGGGACUUGUGCUCCUAUAAAACGCACUGUUUUCCUCACUGCGAGGUGGGUCUCUCACCGCGAUGGACUAUCUGUGAUCACAGAGCACUUCUUCCCUGGGCCUUCCCUGUCACACUGAUGGUGUGAGUAUGUAGGGCAGGGGUGGGAGUGAACAUGUUAAUCUCUUUUGAAUAAACUGAUUUUGAAGUAGAUGUCUCAAAAAAAA